This is a long non-coding RNA of Cryptotermes secundus, 1080 nucleotides long. RefSeq lists it as uncharacterized. NCBI's taxonomy places the organism in Eukaryota, Metazoa, Arthropoda, Insecta, Blattodea, Kalotermitidae. The record is from RefSeq and is a predicted model, not a curated record. The transcript is spliced from 8 exons.
GGUUCGUUCAGUGGUUAAUGCUGAUGACACUCCAGUUUUCAUCAAUAAUAGUAGUGAAACAAGUGAAGUAACGAGUGCUUGUUGUGAUAAAUUUAAAGUAGAACUACAAAAGACCUUAAUAGAACUCAGUUCAGUACAAAAAAAUUAUUGAACUGCUACAAGAAGAGAUGAACUUGAAUACGCCCAAUAGGACCCGCCAGAAGACGUACUGUCCAACAUCAAGACUGAGCCUGAUGACAGCGAACUGAAGCUGCAGGCGGCUGUUACAGAGUCGGAGAACAAUAUAGAAAAGGUGGCAGAGUCAGUACUGGAGAGAAACUCGGAAGGAAACACGGAAGGUGGUUCCAUUGUGCUUAAUGCUACAGCAGAAUUCUGCCGUAUGUUGGGUGACAUCGCCACGUAUUGUCUGGCUGGCAACAGAGAUGAGGACGCUCAGGAACUACUUUUGAGUGCAAUACAACCAUCUGCAGAUUUUGGCUUUGAGAGGGAAAUGAUUGAAGAGAAGAAACGUCAGGAAGAAGGCAAACGUGGAGCUUGGAAUUAAGUUGAGAUUGAGAUGAUGAAAAGUUUGGGCAUCGCGAGCAGUACAGUGGUCUGACCUCAGACUUCAGAGAGGAAGAGGAGGGCUACAAACCAGAUGUUAAAUUCGACUACACAGAUGAUGAUGGACAUCUUCUUAAUGUAAAGGAGACUUCCAGAUACCUGUCUCAUGAAUUUCAUGGAAAGGGACCUGGCAAAAAUAAAGUGGAGAAAUGAAUGAAGAAAGCUGAACAGGAAGGAUUGAUGAAACAGGUGAGCUCAACAGACACCCCACUUGGAACACUUAGCGUCUCGUAGCAGCAACAGAAAGAAACGCAUGUCCAUUCAUGAUCCUCAGUGACAGGAAACAAAUAUGAGGCAACCAUCUCGAAAACAAAACUGCAAAUUCUUCGUGAAAUACACUGGCACCAACUCUGAAAUUUAGUGUCGACUUAUAUUUUUAUUGUUUGUUACUGUCUGGAAUAUCACCUCUAGUUUUAAGUAAGACACAGUUUGCAGCUGACGAUAGUGCCUGUAGGUACUGGAAGGAAGGCCACAGAG